CGGGCUGUGGCGCAGUGGUAGCGCACACGCCUGGGGGGCGUGGGGUCGCUGGUUCAAAUCCAGUCAGCCCGA
This 72-nucleotide transfer RNA is filed under the name Turneriella parva DSM 21527. RNAcentral describes it as "tRNA-Pro (GGG) (tRNA-Pro-GGG-1-1)". It matches the Rfam family "tRNA". From Rfam's summary of the family: Transfer RNA (tRNA) molecules are approximately 80 nucleotides in length. Their secondary structure includes four short double-helical elements and three loops (D, anti-codon, and T loops). The record is from Rfam by way of RNAcentral. RNAcentral also lists the same sequence under 2 other names. Lineage: Bacteria; Pseudomonadati; Spirochaetota; Leptospiria; Leptospirales; Leptospiraceae.